RNAcentral lists this ribosomal RNA (249 nucleotides) under uncultured bacterium. RNAcentral describes it as "partial 16S ribosomal RNA". It matches the Rfam family "Bacterial small subunit ribosomal RNA", at positions 524 to 768 of the family's 1533-position model. The record is from RNAcentral.
UACAGAGGUCUCAAGCGUUGUUCGGAUUCAUUGGGCGUAAAGGGUGCGUAGGUGGCGCGCUAAGUCAGGUGUGAAAUUUCGGAGCUUAACUCCGAAACUGCAUUUGAUACUGGCGUGCUUGAGGACUGGAGAGGAGACUGGAAUUCACGGUGUAGCAGUGAAAUGCGUAGAUAUCGUGAGGAAGACCAGUGGCGAAAGGCGGGUCUCUGGACAGUUCCGUGACGCUGAGGGCACGAAAGGUCAGGGGAG